This 253-nucleotide ribosomal RNA is filed under the name uncultured bacterium. RNAcentral describes it as "partial 16S ribosomal RNA". It matches the Rfam family "Bacterial small subunit ribosomal RNA", at positions 524 to 776 of the family's 1533-position model. The record is from RNAcentral.
UACGUAGGGGGCAAGCGUUGUCCGGAAUUACUGGGCGUAAAGCGCGCGCAGGCGGUCCUUUAAGUCUGAUGUGAAAGCCCACGGCUCAACCGUGGAGGGUCAUUGGAAACUGGGGGACUUGAGUACAGAAGAGAAGAGUGGAAUUCCACGUGUAGCGGUGAAAUGCGUAGAGAUGUGGAGGAACACCAGUGGCGAAGGCGGCAUCCUGGACCGGCAUUGACGCUGAGGCGCGAAAGCCAGGGGAGCAAACGGG